This 1761-nucleotide long non-coding RNA is filed under the name Patiria miniata (bat star). RNAcentral's name for it is "uncharacterized LOC119739272, transcript variant X1". The record is from RNAcentral. Lineage: Eukaryota; Metazoa; Echinodermata; Asteroidea; Valvatida; Asterinidae.
UGUUGGCGAGAUGGAGUUAGUGGUAAUACCACGUGACAACCUAGCGCGAUGUAAAUAAACCUUACGCACAGCGCUAGCGAUCCCUUUGUUUCGUUGGUGGAUUUAAAUACCCCGCGAAAGAUAUAAAAAUUGAUUGGUUUAUUAAAAUGAAUAUGCAACAGAUUACCAAAUAAGGCUUUACAAACCAUCAAUGAAGUUAUGUACGGUCGACAGUUGCCAUCUAGCGUGCACAAAUUAUGAUAAUGUGUGUUUUUUAUGCAGCGUGUGACUUGUGACCUGGAAUUCGUCAAGUCGCAACGUACGAAGUGUACAUGUGUCAUGGCGUGACGAGUGGGGACCUUCGUGGCCAUGUUUUGGCAUGAUUUCGGAGAUUCAGACGGAAAUCUCAAAGACCUAUUGGUUGUCUCUCGGACGCUGUGGAGGAGGUUUGCCUACAGUUCUUCUUAUGCGGAGUGUACGGCAUUCCACCAUGACACGCAGAUGACGUACCCUGCCCUGACGAAGGAUACCUUCAGAAAAUUUGACAAUUUUCAUCGGUUUUGAAGAGUUUCUUCCUAUUUCUGGAUUGAAGAUGGCAACGACAUGCAUGGCCGGGUAUAAUGGACAAGCUUUGGAUUCCUCCGCAUCUGAUCUGUACUACCCACCCAUUGCAAUUGAACUCCGUAUCAGUUCCUGACCAUGCCAUGACAUGGCCAUGUUCAUUCAAACAGCCCAACCCCCACUCUGAACCUUUCUAAAUAGUCCAUGGUGUGGAGUACAUGUACAAAUACUUUUAGUGUGAUCUGAAUUGGGAGUGGUAGGUGUAGUGUGUUCGCUGCCUCCCUGUCCCAGAUGCUUGAAUAACAUAGUUGACUUAAACAUUUCAUAAUGAAUAUCUUACUGCCGGGGGGGUUGAGAGAAUUGAGAUAGUUUGGGAAUUUCGGAGAUAACUGGAGGUAAUCUUUGAUCAGGACAGUUUCUGUUUUGUCCUUAUUGCCAUUUCAGAUGGUAUAUAUCUUGUCAAUGUCACCACAAACUGACACUUGCGCACACUUGAGUAUUUACAGAUUCGGGAUAUUUUGGGUUUCACAAAAUGACAUCCCCCACAGUGCAACACUUUUAGAGUGCACCCAUGCAUUUUCGGUUUCACGAACUGACACUGAUCUUAAUUUUACCAAUUAAAUCGCUUUUUAAUGAAAAAUUUGUACAUGUAUAAUCGCACAAGUACACGGAUAUUGCCGCAUCAUGCUUGGGUGUCAGUUCGUGAAAACAAAAAUGUACGGGGUGCGCUCUAAAAGUGCCGCACUGUGGCGGAUAUCAGUUCGUAAAACCCAAAAUAUCCCGGUUCUGUAAACACGCGCGCGUACAGCGCACACACGGGUGCGAGAGUGUCGUUCGUAGUGACGAUGACAAUCUGUACCUGAUUUCAUGAAACUUAUUGUAACCUACGAUGCAUCGUUGUAUCCCUAGGAUGACGCAUCCUGUGAUUCAUUUUACAAAAUAUGCUGUAAGUGCGACACGUCGUAGUGUAUUCAAAGGACAAAAGGUGACUACAUGUACAUGUUCAUGUAUUUUCAUGUUAUGUUUUUAUUCAAAGUACAGUAGUCGUCGAAAAGUCAACAAAGAGUCGUCGAUUGUACUUGUGAAAACUUUUCUAAAAUAUUUAACAAAAUUGACGAUGUAUGAUGCAUUCACACUGGAAAAGAACUUCACAGUGGACUGUGUUUGCAUCAAAUUGUGAAGCGAUGUAGUGCUUUGUAAAUCUGGGGGGGGGGGGGCAGG